CUUGACAAACUUGGAUUUCCAAAGUCAGAGCUGGAGGGUCGAUUGGAAACAAUUUCUUUAACUUUUCGAGUAGGGUAAGGCUUGUCUAAAUAUUACUAUCCUCAGACUCCAGACUCCACUUUGUGGGACUAUACUGGUAGUGGUUGUUGUUGUAGAGCUGGAAAAUAGAGUAUCUUAUUUUUUUCACUGUUCUCUUUAACUGUGCAAUUUACCAUUGUGGACCCCGAAGUAUUCACCUCAAAUUUAACGUAACUCAAGCAGAAAAAGGAGACACUACAUUAGUAGUCAGCACAAAACCCCAUAUGUGACGUAGAAAAGCAGACAAUAAGCCCAAACCCCGAGAGGAGAAUCGCUUUUCUCAGUCAAUUUUAACCCACUGAACUUUUCCCUUAUUCGCUCUCCACUCACUCAUUCACUCAAUUUCCGAAUUUGCUUUUACAAUCUCGCCGGAUUAUCAUAAAACUCGGCCGGACUUGUCCUGCCUCUGGACGCUACAGUUGAUAUGUAGCUAAUUCAAUUAUUCAACUAUCCAACCAACUGGUUCCUAAUUGGGAAAAAAUUGCUAGAGGAGACAACAUUUCUGUCAGAUUCAGCGUAUAUUUCUGGACUCAUUACGACUUUGGUUUCUCAAUUUGGUAAAUUAACUCCUUUUUGUCAUCCUCCGCUUAGGUGUUUAUUAGUAUUUCUGCUUGUAGCUCUUCUUUUUGGGGAUUCUUUUAUGAACCUGCAGCAUUUUUUCUGUUUUUAUGCCUAGAUAAUUCCUGCUCAGUAAGUUCAACUAAACUGCGUUUUGCUAUGGUUAUUGCAUAAGAAAAUUAACUAAUUAGCCAAUACAUGAAUUUCAAUCCUCCUUACAUUGAUCAUCGGAAAAUAAGUAGUAUUAAUAACGCCUUUAAAUUCUUCUCCUCCUUUAUCUCUGUGCCUAUGCUACUAACUUUGAAUUGCUCAAGUUUAUUAGUGGUUAUGGAUAAUCGAGUACUAAUCGCGUUUUUAAGUCAAUAAUUCAACAUAUGUAGCUAAGUUGCAUUAUGAGAGUUGUUUUCUUAAGAUUUUCAUUUGCUUUAUAUGUCUUUUUCCUGGAAGGAGAAACUUUUCCACAUAAGUUACGCAUGAUAGAAAUUGACUUUUUAAUGCAACUCCAUUCC
This 1145-nucleotide long non-coding RNA is filed under the name Nicotiana benthamiana. RNAcentral describes it as "long non-coding RNA (NBEN_LNC002784)". The record is from RNAcentral. Lineage: Eukaryota; Viridiplantae; Streptophyta; Magnoliopsida; Solanales; Solanaceae.